UACAGAGGUCUCAAGCGUUGUUCGGAUUCAUUGGGCGUAAAGGGUGCGUAGGUGGCGCGCUAAGUCAGGUGUGAAAUUCGGAGCUUAACUCCGAAACUGCAUUUGAUACUGGCGUGCUUGAGGACUGGAGAGGAGACUGGAAUUCAUGGUGUAGCAGUGAAAGUGCGUAGAGAUCAUGAGGAAGACCAGUGGCGAAGGCGGGUCUCUGGACAGUUC
Molecule: ribosomal RNA, 216 nt
Filed under: uncultured bacterium
Lineage: Bacteria
Description: partial 16S ribosomal RNA
Rfam family: Bacterial small subunit ribosomal RNA
Source: RNAcentral